UACGUAGGGGGCGAGCGUUGUCCGGAAUUAUUGGGCGUAAAGAGCGUGUAGGCGGUUCGGUAAGUCUGCCGUGAAACCCUGGGGCUCAACCCCGGGCGUGCGGUGGAUACUGCCGGGCUAGAGGGUGGUAGAGGCGAGUGGAAUUCCUGGUGUAGCGGUGAAAUGCGCAGAUAUCAGGAGGAACACCAAUUGCGAAGGCAGCUCGCUGGGACGUUACUGACGCUGAGACGCGAAAGCGUGGGGAGCAAACAGG
RNAcentral lists this ribosomal RNA (253 nucleotides) under uncultured bacterium. RNAcentral's name for it is "partial 16S ribosomal RNA". It matches the Rfam family "Bacterial small subunit ribosomal RNA", at positions 524 to 776 of the family's 1533-position model. The record is from RNAcentral.